AGCGAACGCGAAGGAGCCUGUUAGUGAUAAUGACAGAGACAGAGGAACAAGCUGGGAAGCUUGGCGAUACAGGGUGAUAGCCCCGUACUCGAAGUCCAGGUCAUGGUACUAAGCUAACGACAAGUAGGGCGGGACACGUGAUAUCCUGUUUGAAGAUGGGGGGACCAUCCUCCAAGGCUAAAUACUCCUGAUUGACCGAUAGUGAACCAGUACUGUGAAGGAAAGGCGAAAAGAACCCCGGUGAGGGGAGUGAAAUAGAACCUGAAACCUUGUACGUACAAGCAGUGGGAGCCCUUUAAGGGUGACUGCGUACCUUUUGUAUAAUGGGUCAGCGACUUAUAUUUUGUAGCGAGGUUAACCGAAUAGGGGAGCCGAAGGGAAACCGAGUCUUAACUGGGCGUCUAGUUGCAAGGUAUAGACCCGAAACCCGGUGAUCUAGCCAUGGGCAGGUUGAAGGUUGGGUAACACUAACUGGAGGACCGAACCGACUAAUGUUGAAAAAUUAGCGGAUGACUUGUGGCUGGGGGUGAAAGGCCAAUCAAACCGGGAGAUAGCUGGUUCUCCCCGAAAUCUAUUUAGGUAGAGCCUUGAGCGGACACCUUCGGGGGUAGAGCACUGUUUCGGCUAGGGGUCCAUCCCGGAUUACCAACCCGAUGCAAACUACGAAUACCGAAGAGUGAUACUCAGGAGACACACGGCGGGUGCUAACGUCCGUCGUGGAGAGGGAAACAACCCAGACCGCCAGCUAAGGUCCCAAAGUCUAUAUUAAGUGGGAAACGAAGUGGGAAGGCUUAGACAGCUAGGAUGUUGGCUUAGAAGCAGCCAUCAUUUAAAGAAAGCGUAAUAGCUCACUAGUCGAGUCGGCCUGCGCGGAAGAUGUAACGGGGCUCAAAUAUAGCACCGAAGCUGCGGCAUCAGUAGCAGUACUGUUGGGUAGGGGAGCGUUCUGUAAGCGGAUGAAGGUGAAUCGAGAGGUUUGCUGGACGUAUCAGAAGUGCGAAUGCUGACAUAAGUAACGAUAAAACGGGUGAAAAACCCGUUCGCCGGAAGACCAAGGGUUCCUGUCCAACGUUAAUCGGGGCAGGGUGAGUCGGCCCCUAAGGCGAGGCUGAAAAGCGUAGUCGAUGGGAAACGGGUUAAUAUUCCCGUACUUGGAUAAACUGCGAUGUGGGGACGGAGCAGGUUAGGUUAUCGCACUGUUGGAUAUGUGCGUUUAAGUUUGUAGGUGUGAAGUUUAGGCAAAUCCGGACUUCUUUAACACCGAGAGAUGAUGACGAGGCUCUACGGAGCUGAAGUAACCGAUACCACACUUCCAGGAAAAGCCACUAAGCUUCAGGUUUAUCUAAACCGUACUGAAAACCGACACAGGUGGUCAGGUAGAGAAUACUCAGGCGCUUGAGAGAACUCGGGUGAAGGAACUAGGCAAAAUAGCACCGUAACUUCGGGAGAAGGUGCGCCGGCGUAGAUUGUAGUCCCUAGCGGGCGAAGGUUGAACCGGUCGAAGAUACCAGCUGGCUGCAACUGUUUAUUAAAAACACAGCACUCUGCAAACACGAAAGUGGACGUAUAGGGUGUGAUGCCUGCCCGGUGCUGGAAGGUUAAUUGAUGGUGUAAUCGAAAGAGAAGCUCCUGAUCGAAGCCCCAGUAAACGGCGGCCGUAACUAUAACGGUCCUAAGGUAGCGAAAUUCCUUGUCGGGUAAGUUCCGACCUGCACGAAUGGCAUAAUGAUGGCCAGGCUGUCUCCCCCCGAGACUCAGUGAAAUUGAAAUCGCCGUGAAGAUGCGGUGUACCCGCGGCUAGACGGAAAGACCCCGUGAACCUUUACUAUAGCUUGACACUGAACAUUGAAUUUUGAUGUGUAGGAUAGGUGGGAGACUUAGAAGUAGUCACGCCAGUGAUUAUGGAGUCGUCCUUGAAAUACCACCCUUUAACGUUUGAUGUUCUAACGAAGAUUACGAAACGUGGUCUCGGACAGUGUCUGGUGGGUAGUUUGACUGGGGCGGUCUCCUCCCAAAGAGUAACGGAGGAGCACGAAGGUUUGCUAAUGACGGUCGGACAUCGUCAGGUUAGUGCAAUGGUAUAAGCAAGCUUAACUGCGAGACAGACAAGUCGAGCAGGUACGAAAGUAGGUCAUAGUGAUCCGGUGGUUCUGAAUGGAAGGGCCAUCGCUCAACGGAUAAAAGGU
RNAcentral lists this ribosomal RNA (2186 nucleotides) under human gut metagenome. RNAcentral's name for it is "bacterial LSU rRNA". It matches the Rfam family "Bacterial large subunit ribosomal RNA", at positions 288 to 2464 of the family's 2925-position model. The record is from RNAcentral.